This 1404-nucleotide unclassified non-coding RNA is filed under the name Gigantopelta aegis. RNAcentral's name for it is "uncharacterized LOC121386275, transcript variant X2". The record is from RNAcentral. Lineage: Eukaryota; Metazoa; Mollusca; Gastropoda; Neomphalida; Peltospiridae.
AUGAUCGCUCUUGUAGUCAGAGAUCACAAUCCCUACAGUAGUCUGUGUCAUCAGAAGGCUUAAAUAGUGCAGCUUUAAUACAGUAUUUAUACAUCCAUGUAUCUAAGGUGUGGCUAUUGAACUAUGGAGACACAACCAACCUGCCUGCAGUGGAGAGAACCGGAAACGACGAUCAGCAGAAAUCUCUGAUGAAAGACUGAGAAGGACGAUCCUCAUCCUGGACCCAGAAUUCAAAUCGACAAGAACGUCUGACUCUUCGAAGAACAAAACCGUUUCUGUGAAUGACGUCACAACCCCGAUUGUGGCUUCCGUUGCCAUAGUGAUCAUCAUGCUGCUUGUCAUCUGCAUUGUGGUUUUGUUGGUUGUCAAGAAGAGAAGGUCCAACCAGAAGUCUCAAGACAAGGGCGUGAAUAAUCACGCCAUUUAAUCAGCUUCUCCGGUUAAAUAAAAAACACGUCUGAUUUUAUUUAAUUUUUUGUAGCAGACAAAUGAUGGAACAAUGCUAGCUUCACCACUGUGACUUGGAAUUUAGACGACUUUAUUAAAUAUUUCGUUGAAUUUAUUCAUUCAGUCAUUAUGUUCUUUCAAAAUCUUGUAAGUCAAAUAUAUCUAAGUUUAAAGAAGAAAAACAAAAGACGAAACAUUUCACUGACAUUCUAAACAAUUCACGAGUCAGAAUCAAGUGAUUAAUUUUGAAAACAUGAUACCAGAACAUUUACAGACGACUGCGGCUGUUGAUUCUCGUGUUUAUGUUAAUAUAGAGCACAUUGAUUUAUUGGAUGUCAAACAUUUGGCCAUUGAGAUGCAGUCAUAAAGAGGAAACCCUGUACAUUAUUCCAUUUGUAACAAGGCAUAUUUUAUAUGCACGAUCCCACAUACAGGAUAGCACAUUCCUUUGAUAUACUAGUCGUGGUGUACUGGGCAGAACGAGAAAUGGCCUAAUAGGCCCACCGACAGAGACCACUAUCUAGUACCUCGUCUAUAGGAGGACAGCCAUUUCAACCCGCUUGCACGAACAGAAAGAGGACUACCACUCUCAGACUAGUUUACUGAAUCACCAUUGGAUUAAAUUUUGAUAAAUUACGCAAGCCAUUAAGUCCGUUUUCCACGAACACUGUAGGAUAAUACAUACGCAUGUAUGGUUCACACGCGAUGUUUGAAUAAACAACUGGUACAGCAGUCGACAAAUGAAGGCUUGUAAUCGUGGAUGUUUCCUUCUCAUCUUUCUCACCAACUGCACGAGACAGAUAACAUCACCUACAUCAUGGCCCCAUGAACCUGCUAGGUAUUUUAUUUCGGUUUCCUGAACAUUUUGACUUACGGGGUUUUCAAAAAACAGUAAUAUGUUUUAGUCCAGAAUUAUAAACCCUGCUUUUAAACUGAAUCGUAAUAAACAGAUGAGCA